This 514-nucleotide long non-coding RNA is filed under the name Pongo abelii (Sumatran orangutan). RNAcentral describes it as "lncRNA (ENSPPYG00000036583.1)". Lineage: Eukaryota; Metazoa; Chordata; Mammalia; Primates; Hominidae. The record is from RNAcentral.
AAUAAUCUUGCCUUUUGCUCACCCUCAAACCCAGCCCCCAGCGCGCCUUCUCGACCAGUUAAGGUGCACAGCUGGCUAAACGGUGAAUGGAUAGGUAAACGCGUAACUUUUGCUUUUUUGAAGCUGCGGUACAAUACCUUUGUUAAAAACUACCUGGAGAAAAUGAUAUUGAGAUAAUAUGGGCCCUCUUUUUCCUUAAAUUUGAAGUGAAAUGAGACAGGAACCAUAUAUCCAGGGAAAGGGCCAGAAAUCUUUAUUUUUGACUCCAUCUCUACCCAUUUUGCUUAUUGUUCCCAAAGGAUCCUGACACCAGCAAAUGUACAAAUUAUAAACAAGUUUAAGAUCUGUGGUGCCAAAAUACAAGCUUCUGAAGAUCUAUGGGCUGAAGUACAAGCUUCUUGGCCUUUCAAGUGAAAUGUUGGUGUUAUGUGUGGGAAAAUUUGGCUGGCCAUGUCAAAAUGGAAAAGGAAUAUAAGUAUGAAAAAAUUUACAUGAUAAACAUGACCAUUUUACU